RNAcentral lists this long non-coding RNA (311 nucleotides) under Callithrix jacchus (white-tufted-ear marmoset). Its description in RNAcentral is "lncRNA (ENSCJAG00000073831.1)". Lineage: Eukaryota; Metazoa; Chordata; Mammalia; Primates; Cebidae. The record is from RNAcentral.
UUGGGGUUGCAUCUUCAUUCCAAACAACUUCAGCUCCAAGAGGACUUUCACAAACAGAGUCUUGCUCUAUCACCAGGCUGGAGUGCAGUGGCAUAAUCUCGGCUCACAGCAACACCCGCCUUCUGGGUUCAACCAUUUUUCUGCCUCAGCCUCCCAAGUAGCUCAACUUGGGACUACAGAGUGCGGCUUUGCUUCAGAUAGUAUAUAAAAUUGAAUAUGGGAAUAAAGAGAACUUUACACAAUCUGUUCUAAAAUUUCUGACUUUUGUUUCUUCCUGAUGCCAUGUUGCAGGCUGGAAAUUUCACUACAGU